RNAcentral lists this ribosomal RNA (433 nucleotides) under uncultured bacterium. RNAcentral's name for it is "partial 16S ribosomal RNA". It matches the Rfam family "Bacterial small subunit ribosomal RNA", at positions 29 to 507 of the family's 1533-position model. The record is from RNAcentral.
AACGAACGCUGGCGGCAGGCCUAACACAUGCAAGUCGAGCGCACCCUUCGGGGUGAGCGGCGGACGGGUGAGUAACGCGUGGGAACGUGCCCUUCUCUGCGGAAUAGCCUCGGGAAACUGAGAGUAAUACCGCAUACGCCCUUUGGGGGAAAGAUUUAUCGGAGAAGGAUCGGCCCGCGUUGGAUUAGGUAGUUGGUGGGGUAAUGGCCCACCAAGCCGACGAUCCAUAGCUGGUUUGAGAGGAUGAUCAGCCACACUGGGACUGAGACACGGCCCAGACUCCUACGGGAGGAAGCAGUGGGGAAUCUUAGACAAUGGGGGCAACCCUGAUCUAGCCAUGCCGCGUGAGUGAUGAAGGCCUUAGGGUUGUAAAGCUCUUUCAGCUGGGAAGAUAAUGACGGUACCAGCAGAAGAAGCCCCGGCUAACUCCGUG